GCCCCAUUAGCUCAGUUUGGGAGAGCAACUGACUCUUAAUCAGUGGGCCGAAGGUUCGAGUCCUUCAUGGGGCA
RNAcentral lists this transfer RNA (74 nucleotides) under candidate division Zixibacteria bacterium 4484_93. RNAcentral describes it as "tRNA-Lys". It matches the Rfam family "tRNA". From Rfam's summary of the family: Transfer RNA (tRNA) molecules are approximately 80 nucleotides in length. RNAcentral also lists the same sequence under 1 other name. Lineage: Bacteria; Pseudomonadati; Candidatus Zixiibacteriota. The record is from RNAcentral.